This 70-nucleotide transfer RNA is filed under the name Dipodomys ordii (Ord's kangaroo rat). It matches the Rfam family "tRNA". Rfam says of the family: Transfer RNA (tRNA) molecules are approximately 80 nucleotides in length. Their secondary structure includes four short double-helical elements and three loops (D, anti-codon, and T loops). Further hydrogen bonds mediate the characteristic L-shaped molecular structure. tRNAs have two regions of fundamental functional importance: the anti-codon, which is responsible for specific mRNA codon recognition, and the 3' end, to which the tRNAs corresponding amino acid is attached (by aminoacyl-tRNA synthetases). tRNAs cope with the degeneracy of the genetic code in two manners: having more than one tRNA (with a specific anti-codon) for a particular amino acid; and 'wobble' base-pairing, i.e. permitting non-standard base-pairing at the 3rd anti-codon position. The record is from Rfam by way of RNAcentral. Lineage: Eukaryota; Metazoa; Chordata; Mammalia; Rodentia; Heteromyidae.
GGGAAUGUGGCUUAGUGGUAGAGUGCUUGCCUAGCAUGCAUGAAGCCCAGGGUUCAAUUCCUCAGUACCA